This 391-nucleotide ribosomal RNA is filed under the name Salmonella enterica. RNAcentral describes it as "bacterial SSU rRNA". It matches the Rfam family "Bacterial small subunit ribosomal RNA", at positions 1 to 388 of the family's 1533-position model. Lineage: Bacteria; Pseudomonadati; Pseudomonadota; Gammaproteobacteria; Enterobacterales; Enterobacteriaceae. The record is from RNAcentral. RNAcentral also lists the same sequence under 2 other names.
AAAUUGAAGAGUUUGAUCAUGGCUCAGAUUGAACGCUGGCGGCAGGCCUAACACAUGCAAGUCGAACGGUAACAGGAAGCAGCUUGCUGCUUUGCUGACGAGUGGCGGACGGGUGAGUAAUGUCUGGGAAACUGCCUGAUGGAGGGGGAUAACUACUGGAAACGGUGGCUAAUACCGCAUAACGUCGCAAGACCAAAGAGGGGGACCUUCGGGCCUCUUGCCAUCAGAUGUGCCCAGAUGGGAUUAGCUUGUUGGUGAGGUAACGGCUCACCAAGGCGACGAUCCCUAGCUGGUCUGAGAGGAUGACCAGCCACACUGGAACUGAGACACGGUCCAGACUCCUACGGGAGGCAGCAGUGGGGAAUAUUGCACAAUGGGCGCAAGCCUGAUG